UUCCCCAAAUCGGACCUGGCUCUCUCUAUCUUCUCCAUCACGCUCACCGCCGCAAUCCUCUCUCUGUCCGUCUUCCCACCGGCUCCGGCGAGGCCGUAUCCGGCCGAGGGCACCGCUCCUCGACUACUACCUCCCAUCAUCCAUUUUCCUCUCUCAAAAAUCACGGAUGAAGACUAAAGGGGAGCCCUAAUUUCCUCCCCAAAUCAGGAAUCGCCGCCGCCUGAGCCGAAAUCCGGCAACGCAGCGCCCUUCUCUUCGGCGUUGUCGAUGCCGCCAUGCCGAAGGCUUUCUCCUCCCCUUUCCCUUCCAAUUUUGAGCCCUAGUUUUCAUAGAAAGAAAUACCGCCGCCGCUACAACUGGAGGACCAGCGAAUGGUCGGGCUUCACCCGUUCUCUUCCUCUUCUUCUCUCUGAAUCUGGCGCCGCCGACUGAGGAAUAUCGAUGAACGUCGUUCACUGCCAUGGUCUUCGAGAUUCGGGCGAGUGGUUGUCACCUCCGCUCUUUCGUUACCUCUCUCCGAUUUCGACCAAGAAUCGCAGGAAGAAGAUGAAGAAAAUCAAGAAAAAGAUAAGGGUUCCAAGACUAGUGCAGGAAUCGACAGUGGGCUACCCUCAAAAUUCUCUCUUUAUCAACAGUCCGUGCAGUCGCCAAAAGGGGAUAUAAGCUAUCUGCAGAAGUUCUUUUUGAUGUAUGUGGGUGGGAGGGCGCCCCUUCAUUUACAAGAGGACUUUUGUGGCACUGCUCUUUUGAGGCUCAGCACUUUCUAAAAAAUCUAUACAAGGAGGUAGCACUUCGAUUGCAGGGAUGUGGAGUGCAAGGAAGAGCUUUUACUCUCAAGGAACACUACCCUCAGUCUUGAUUUUUUUUUUUGGUAAUUGAUUGAUUAUGUUCUAAACAACCAUCCGAGUAUAAAAAGGAAAAGAUAAAUCCUGUAAGACAAGAGUAAUAACUUCAGGACAAGCAUAAUCCCCCCAGCCAUCCGGGAUCGACUACGAAGCCAUGUAGCUAGUGGUAAUUGGAGAAGAAGCAAAAUAUUAUUUAACGGAAUGGCUCCAUUCUUAAUAUGAAAGAUACUUCUGUUUGCAAUAGAUUAUAUUUUUCAUUGUCAUGUCUGCUCACGUCUACUGUUGUUUACAUUGUUGCCCAUGUAAGAUAUUCUGUGAUAUCUCAUGGGGUGGGUAUUAGAAAUAUAAAGAAGAAGAUUCAGUAAGUGGCAGAACUGCUAACAAAAAAAGUCCUCUUCAGUGCACCUAAACAAGAAACUUCUAUAUAUUUUUCCUCUUGUUUUGGUGCACCGCAUGGUGCUGUACACAACAGAGGAUCUUUUUCCCGAAAGGACUUGGAUCUACACUCUCCGUUUUGACGCUAACCUCAUUUUGUCUACUCUUCGAUAUCUCUAUCUGGCCAUUGUGUGUGAAUUUUCUGGCAAUGUGAUCUGAUUUUAUCUGUCUUUUCGUGGCAGACUUGUCUUUCGAAGUUAUGGCUCUGCAGCUGAAUGGGUUCAGAAAAAUAAGUACUUUCACAUGUUGUCAAGGGGAGUUGAGCGGGAUGGUUGGAAAUUUGUUCUUCUUGCUCGAUUCUCACCUGUACCAUCCUAUGUCAUAAACUAUGCAUUGGCUGCUACUAAUGUUGGGUUUCUAGUUGAUUUCUUGCUUCCAACAGUCAUUGGGUGCAUGCCCAUGAUCUUGCAGAAUACUUCAAUUGGCAGCCUUGCGAGUGCUGCCGUAGGUUCAGCAUCUGGCUCCCAGAAGUCUCAGGUUUGGUCAUAUUUAUUUCCCCUUCUUGGCAUGACGAAUAUAUACUUGAACCUAUCAGCUAGCAGUUUACAGGCUUCCUCCCAACGAACUUGAUGGGUUAGUUUCUCUAAUUUUUCGGAGAAUGCUGCUAAGCAAUUAGAAGAAGAUAAGAUACAAUGAUCCUGUAACUGAACUCAAAUUGAUGUACGCCAUCAGAGUAGUCGAGAGUUUCAUCCUGUCUGUUUAAGUUCCUUAUAAACAAGUAGACACGUCAAGUUGACAUUUUUAGGUUUAGGCUUUUGUACUUGUGUGUUAUUUAAAGAUGUGUUCUGGAACAUUUUUCUCUUGUUUCUUCCUCUUGUGUAAUAUGUUUGCAUGCAUGCGUGCAGCUGAUAAUUGCUCCUGGUGUUAGUUGUAUCUUUAUGUAAAUUUGUAGUUUCUGGGUUGAGUUUCUUCUUAAAGUUUCAAGUCCAAAUUUGUCGUCGCUUCGUUGUGUUUGUUCUUAAGAGUAUCUAUCCCAUGCCUAGUGCCUCACCCCACCCCACUUCUGAUGCUCUAGUGUUGUGGUUGCUCGUGCUGAAAGUUCAGUAAAGAGUGAGUCUGAUUAUUGUAGCUUUUAUAAAAGAGGUUCCUUUUUGUAAGCUUUACAUCUUCAGGAAUAGAUAGCUAAAUGUUUGAUGCUUAUGUAAUUGAACUCUUGGGAGCGUGGAAUGUUAUUAUAUGAUAGAAAUUGGGGGAUAUUGAGCAUGUUACUAUGUGUUGAGCCAAUUUUGAUUUAUGAAUAAGGGAAGAACGACUUUUAGUAUUGAGUGGAGAACUUGUGGUGAUUGGUUGUGUUAUAACUUGCUUUCUUGGUGUUGAUGAGUUAAAUAUGAUUUAAAUUUCAAGCUAAAGCAUGCUAAUGUGUAGUAAGAUGAUGUAUUUGAGAUCUUAUAGCUUUUAUUUGGCCAAAAUAUGAGUUAUAUGUUGAGUUUCAACAGAAACUGUAUUGCUGUCUAGUUUGGCUGGACAAACCAAUGUCUUGUGAGGGAUUUUCGAGAGUGUUCCUAUUGUCCAAAUAACUUGAAAUUUUUACUGUAAUAACUUCAGCAUGAGUAGGAGGUUUCUGUAAAAUUUCAGCUAAAUUGGACACCGUUAGAUAUGUCAAACAAUUUUCUUAAAAGUACUGCGCGAAGCAGCAAGGUUCUGUGGCAGAUUCUGCAUUUUGUGAGAUAAUUUCUUAUACACUUGAGAAGAUAUUGUAUUUUUGUAACUUUCUAAUAAAGAUAGACUUUAAUAACUUUCUUAAAAGGUAAAGCUUGCAUUUUUCUUUGAAAAUGUUGAUUUUAUAUGAUUUUUCAAAGUUGAGAUUCAUGUUUCUUACUUGACAAAGUUAUGAAUAGAAUUAUGCUAAGUAAUUGAUGUUUCAGUUAUUCCCUUCUUCAUUCCCUCGGACUAUAUUCAACUAUACGGUAUAUAUGUAACGUUGUGAGAGAGAGCAGAGUUGAAAUAUCUCUUUCAUAUUUCUUUUAUUUAAGAAGCUCGGGUUGGCUAUGUUUUGCAGGUGAACUCGCUCGUGUUGGUGCAGGUUCAUUAUUGUGAUUGAGUUUAUCAUCUUGGCGGAUCAAGUAGAUGGGAGUCGAUGAGCUAUGAGGACUACUACAAACGAGAAGGCUGAAGCAGAGAACGUCGUUUCAAAUGUCUAGCAAGUUGCGCGCAUUUGUAAUAUUUUUUAAUUAAACAUCUAGCUAAAUAGAAUAUAUGUGAAGUUUUCAUUAUAUUUGGAUGAUAAUGUAUGAAUAUUUUGGAUGAUAUAUAAUAUUGUUAUUGUUCAUUUUAUCA
This is an RNA transcript of Salvia miltiorrhiza (redroot sage), 3557 nucleotides long. RefSeq lists it as uncharacterized. The record is from RefSeq and is a predicted model, not a curated record. The transcript has 4 exons. NCBI's taxonomy places the organism in Eukaryota, Viridiplantae, Streptophyta, Magnoliopsida, Lamiales, Lamiaceae.